GAUGAAGAACGCAGUGAAAUGCGAUAAGUAAUGUGAAUUGCAGAAUUCAGUGAAUCAUCGAAUCUUUGAACGCACAUUGCGCCCCCUGGUAUUCCGGGGGGCAUGCCUGUCCGAGCGUCAUUACAACCCUCAAGCUCAGCUUGGUGUUGGGCCCCGCCGCCCCGGCGGGCCCUAAAGUCAGUGGCGGUGCCGUCCGGCUCCGAGCGUAGUAAUUCUUCUCGCUCUGGAGGUCCGGUCGUGUGCUCGCCAGCAACCCCCAAUUUUUUUCAGGUUGACCUCGGAUCAGGUAGGGAUACCCACUGAACUUAAGCAUAUCAAUAAGCGGAGGA
RNAcentral lists this unclassified non-coding RNA (329 nucleotides) under soil metagenome. RNAcentral's name for it is "partial contains 5.8S ribosomal RNA, internal transcribed spacer 2, and large subunit ribosomal RNA". The stretch from base 1 to 120 matches the Rfam family "5.8S ribosomal RNA", at positions 35 to 154 of the family's 154-position model. The record is from RNAcentral.